RNAcentral lists this ribosomal RNA (468 nucleotides) under uncultured bacterium. RNAcentral describes it as "partial 16S ribosomal RNA". It matches the Rfam family "Bacterial small subunit ribosomal RNA", at positions 28 to 507 of the family's 1533-position model. The record is from RNAcentral.
GACGAACGCUGGCGGCGUGCUUAACACAUGCAAGUCGAACGGAAAGGCCCUGCUUUUUUGUGGUGCUCGCGUGGCGAACGUGUGAGUAACACGUGAGUCUCCCUCCCUUUACUUUGGGAUAACUUCAGGAAACUGGUGCUACUACCUGAUAGGAGCUCCUGCUGCUUGGUGGGGUUUGGACCGUUUCGGCUGUUGUGGAUGGACUCGCGGCUUAUCAGCUUGUUGGUGGGGUAGUUGCUUACCAAGGCUUUGACGGGUAGCCGGCCUGAGAGGGUGACCGGCCACAUUGGGACUGAGAUACGGCGCAGACUCCUACGGGAGGCAGCAGUGGGGAGUAUUGCACAAUGGGCGGAAGCCUGAUGCAGAAACGCCGCGAGCGGGAUGAAGGCCUUCGGGUUGUAAACCGCUGUCGCCUGUGACGAAGCGUGAGUGACGGUAAUGGGUAAAGAAGCACCGGCUAACUACGUG